RNAcentral lists this ribosomal RNA (303 nucleotides) under uncultured bacterium. RNAcentral describes it as "bacterial SSU rRNA". It matches the Rfam family "Bacterial small subunit ribosomal RNA", at positions 355 to 675 of the family's 1533-position model. The record is from RNAcentral.
UGGGGAAUAUUGGACAAUGGGCGAAAGCCUGAUCCAGCAAUGCCGCGUGAGUGAUGAAGGCCUUAGGGUUGUAAAGCUCUUUUACCCGGGAUGAUAAUGACAGUACCGGGAGAAUAAGCUCCGGCUAACUCCGUGCCAGCAGCCGCGGUAAUACGGAGGGAGCUAGCGUUGUUCGGAAUUACUGGGCGUAAAGCGCACGUAGGCGGCUUUGUAAGUCAGAGGUGAAAGCCUGGAGCUCAACUCCAGAACUGCCUUUGAGACUGCAUCGCUUGAAUCCAGGAGAGGUGAGUGGAAUUCCGAGUG